CCUACGGGCGGCAGCAGUGGGGAAUAUUGGACAAUGGGGGGAACCCUGAUCCAGCCAUGCCGCGUGUGUGAAGAAGGCCCUCGGGUUGUAAAGCACUUUCAGUGAGGAAGAACGCCUGGUGGUUAAUACCCAUCAGGAAAGACAUCACUCACAGAAGAAGCACCGGCUAACUCCGUGCCAGCAGCCGCGGUAAUACGGAGGGUGCGAGCGUUAAUCGGAAUUACUGGGUGUAAAGCGCGCGUAGGUGGCUUGAUAAGCCGGUUGUGAAAGCCCCGGGCUCAACCUGGGAACGGCAUCCGGAACUGUCAAGCUAGAGUGCAGGAGAGGAAGGUAGAAUUCCCGGUGUAGCGGUGAAAUGCGUAGAGAUCGGGAAGAAUACCAGUGGCGAAGGCGGCCUUCUGGACUGACACUGACACUGAGGUGCGAAAGCGUGGGUAGCAAACAGGAUUAGAUACCCGGGUAGUC
This 465-nucleotide ribosomal RNA is filed under the name Vreelandella stevensii. RNAcentral's name for it is "partial 16S ribosomal RNA". It matches the Rfam family "Bacterial small subunit ribosomal RNA", at positions 338 to 795 of the family's 1533-position model. Lineage: Bacteria; Pseudomonadati; Pseudomonadota; Gammaproteobacteria; Oceanospirillales; Halomonadaceae. The record is from RNAcentral.